This 431-nucleotide ribosomal RNA is filed under the name uncultured Enterobacteriaceae bacterium. Its description in RNAcentral is "bacterial SSU rRNA". It matches the Rfam family "Bacterial small subunit ribosomal RNA", at positions 355 to 774 of the family's 1533-position model. Lineage: Bacteria; Pseudomonadati; Pseudomonadota; Gammaproteobacteria; Enterobacterales; Enterobacteriaceae. The record is from RNAcentral.
UGGGGAAUAUUGCACAAUGGGCGCAAGCCUGAUGCAGCCAUGCCGCGUGUAUGAAGAAGGCCUUCGGGUUGUAAAGUACUUUCAGCGGGGAGGAAGGCGAUAAGGUUAAUAACCUUGUCGAUUGACGUUACCCGCAGAAGAAAGCACCGGCUAACUCCGUGCCAGCAGCCGCGGUAAUACGGAGGGUGCAAGCGUUAAUCGGAAUUACUGGGCGUAAAGCGCACGCAGGCGGUCUGUCAAGUCGGAUGUGAAAUCCCCGGGGCUCAACCUGGGAACUGCAUUCGAAACUGGCAGGCUGGAGUCUUGUAGAGGGGGGUAAGAAUUCCAGGUGUAGCGGUGAAAUGCGUAGAGAUCUGGAGGAAUACCCGGUGGCGAAGGCGGCCCCCUGGACAAAGACUGACGCUCAGGUGCGAAAGCGUGGGGAGCAAACA